This 74-nucleotide transfer RNA is filed under the name bacterium. RNAcentral describes it as "tRNA-Val". It matches the Rfam family "tRNA". Rfam says of the family: Transfer RNA (tRNA) molecules are approximately 80 nucleotides in length. The record is from RNAcentral. RNAcentral also lists the same sequence under 6 other names.
GGGCGAUUAGCUCAGUUGGUUAGAGCACCAGCUCGACAAGCUGGGGGUCACAGGUUCGAGCCCUGUAUCGCCCA